This 1235-nucleotide ribosomal RNA is filed under the name metagenome. Its description in RNAcentral is "bacterial LSU rRNA". It matches the Rfam family "Bacterial large subunit ribosomal RNA", at positions 1564 to 2808 of the family's 2925-position model. The record is from RNAcentral.
UGAAUACGAGAUGCUACGGCGUCGAAGCAGUGUAUGUCAGACUUCCAAGAAAAGCUCGCAAUGUCAUAAAUAAAGAAUGCCUGUACCAUAACCGACACAGGUGGGUAGGUAGAGUAUACUAAGGGGCGCGAGAUAACUCUCUCUAAGGAACUCGGCAAAAUGACUCCGUAACUUCGGGAGAAGGAGUGCCUUAUUUAUAAGGUUGCAAUAACAAGAUCCAAGCAACUGUUUAUCAAAAACACAGGUCUCCGCUAAGUCGUAAGACGAUGUAUGGGGGCUGACGCCUGCCCAGUGCCAGAAGGUUAAAGAAGUUGGUUAGUGUAUGCGAAGCUGAUGACUGAAGCCCUGGUGAACGGCGGCCGUAACGAUAACGGUCCUAAGGUAGCGAAAUUCCUUGUCGGGUAAGUUCCGACCCGCACGAAAGGCGUAAUGAUUUGGAUACUGUCUCUGAGAGAGGCUCGGUGAAAUAGACUUGUCUGUGAAGAUGCGGACUACCUGCACCAGGACAGAAAGACCCUAUGAAGCUUUACUGUAACUUGAAAUUGGAAUUGGACUUUGCUUGCGCAGUAUAGGUGGGAAGCGUUGAAAAUAUUCUUGCGGGAGUAUUGGAGCUAUCAGUGAGAUACCACUCUUGUAAUGUUAGAUUUCUAACUUUGAACCAUAAUCUGGUCAAAGAACAGUUUCAGGUGGGCAGUUUGACUGGGGCGGUCGCCUCCCAAAUGGUAACGGAGGCGUACAAAGGUUUCCUCUGAACGGAUAGAAAUCGUAUCUAGAGUGUAAAGGCAUAAGGAAGCUUGACUGUGAGACCUACAAGUCGAGCAGGGACGAAAGUCGGUCUUAGUGAUCUGACGGUACUGAGUGGAAAGGCCGUCACUCAACGGAUAAAAGUUACUCUAAGGAUAACAGGCUGAUCUCCCCCAAGAGUUCACAUCGACGGGGAGGUUUGGCACCUCGAUGUCGGCUCAUCGCAUCCUGGGGCGGUAGUACGUCCCAAGGGUUGGGCUGUUCGCCCAUGAAAGCGGUACGCGAGCUGGGUUCAGAACGUCGUGAGACAGUUCGGUCCAUAUCCGGUGUAGGCGCUAGAAUAUUGAGAGGAGCCUUCUUUAGUACGAGAGGACCGAGAAGGACACACCGCUGGUGUACCAGUUAUCGUGCCAACGGUAAACGCUGGGUAGCUAUGUGUGGAGUGGAUAACCGCUGAAAGCAUCUAAGUGGGAAGCCCACCUCGAGAUGAG